GCAGCAUCAGCUCGAGCUCUGAGAGGAUUUCUGUCGUCUUCUCUCUUCUCUGGACGGCUUGCUUGCAGAGAGAGACUCUGCCCAUGUGCUCUUCUGAUUGGCUGUGAUUUUUAUUGAUUUUGUCAAGUCUGGACAGAAAAUAUCACAUCUUUGUGAUAUUCUGGUCUCCACUGGCUCGAGUCCUUCCUUCAGUCAAGACCCGUGGUUUGAGGACUCAUUCACAUCUGGAGCACAAACACUGCAUGAUGAACAACAGUAAUACUCGCCAUGACGGUGACCUGUGACUUCUCUGCAUUUCUCCCCUCUUUUUGGAAACUCCGAUUAGGUUCCCAUGAGUGCGGACAGCGGGCGGCUGUUUGUUUAAUACGAGGGGAUAAAAUGAUUAUAUAAGAAUGAGCCAGGAGCCGGGGGAAGAUGAGCCGACCUCUGCCCCGCUCUGUGGGAGACCGGCGGGAUGUCUUCUCUCUCACGGACCCCCGCGAUCCGAACAUCAAGAAAUCCUCAGACAUUCUCCAGAACCUUCUCGUCUGUUUUCCUUUACAUUUUAAUUUUCCUUUCAUUUCAACAAUGCAGUCGGGUUCUGAAGUUUACCUGGCCAUUCGCCACGCAGACUAGUACAGAAGAUGUUUUAUUGAAAAUGGAAUUAGGCUUGUAUAGCAUAACAUAACAUAUGAUUGUUGCGAUUAGCUUUUACAACUUAAAAUUUGGUGUUACACUGGAAAAAAACUAAAAACGGUAACUCUAAAUAAACAUGUUUUUAUUACAGUAAAAAUGUUAUGUAACAAAAAAAAAAUUUUAGGGGUUAAAUCAACAGAUUUUUAAGGUAACAGUUGCAAGUUACCACUUUUUUAUAGUUUACAAUAACUUUCCCGGAUUUUCCAAGCGGUCACACCUUCACAUUUCAAGUUGACUAAACUUAAUUUUGAUUUUUAAUUAACUUUAAGGCAGUAUGAAUGUUUACUUUUUAAGUUGAAACAACAUUGUUGUUUACAGUGACUUGAUUUUAGAUCAUUGAGGCAUUUCUGAAAUCAUAUAUAUACAUAUAACUAUUAAAAUAUACUGUAGCUUUAAGUUUUAAAGGCCUAUUGUUGUUGUAUUGUAACUAAGCUGCAAGUACAUCUGGUAACGAAAUUUACAUCUGACCACUGACAUUUACAUGUCAAUGAUACCUGUUUGGUGUCCAAAGUCUGGUCCACUCAGUUGUGGUGAAGUGAAGUAGUUGCUAUUAUUCCUAAACAGCAAAAGAACUAAAAAUAAGAGUUAAAAAUGUCAGUUUACAUACAAUCUUAAAAAUAAAGGUUCCAAAAUGGAGCUUUGGGCAAAAAACUUUUUUUUUUUUUUUUCCUUUCAGUGAACAGAUCUGAAAAUAAACAUUUUUCUUACUGUAAAGAACAUUUAAAAAAUCUAAAGAACCUUUUGUGGAAUGAAAAGAUUCCAUAGAUGUUAAAAAUUAUUUUUGGAACCAUCAGUGCCCAUAAAGAACCUUUAUUUUUAAGAGUGUAGCGUUUACAGGAUGAAAUAUACUCUGUAAUUUAACUGAUGAUUUGAAAAGAUUGUAAAAAGGUUAAUUUGGACCAGUGUAAUUAAAGAAAUCAACCACGAACCUGCGUAAACGAUUGAGUAAACAGAACCUCCCUUGAGUAUUUACAGAACAACGUUUAAUUUACUGUCAAGACCAGCUGCAGCUCAGAAAAAAGCCAUGGGAUUAGUUUGCCCUUUCACACACUAAACAUUUCGGUUACCUGCUUUUUUCAGCUAAAUUCACUGUGAUCCAAGUACUCAGAAGAAGAGGUGAACCAGUUCAGAAGGCUGUAAGGGUUUACAGAUAUACUUGGGCCUCCUUUAUUCCACUUUCAGGCAGAUAGUUUACCAAAGGAAGAAAUUCAGCACCAGUACACCUCACUCUGGGACAAGACGCCCUACAAAGAUUGGUGUGAGGGUAAACUGUAAAAACCUCAAACAAGUGACACAGAACCAUAGGAUGACAGCGAAAGAUAGGCCUUGAUUAAGAUAUCCAAACACAUGAUAACACCAGUCUAGCGAAAGAAAAACACUGACAAAACUGUGUUCAUGGGAGGCUAUCACAGAAAAAAAGCACUGAUUUCCAGAAACAAAACAUUGU
Molecule: long non-coding RNA, 2122 nt
Organism: Onychostoma macrolepis
Lineage: Eukaryota; Metazoa; Chordata; Actinopteri; Cypriniformes; Cyprinidae
Exons: 4
Source: RefSeq, a predicted model, not a curated record